GGGGAAUAUUGGACAAUGGGCGAAAGCCUGAUCCAGCAAUGCCGCGUGAGUGAUGAAGGCCUUAGGGUUGUAAAGCUCUUUUACCCGGGAUGAUAAUGACAGUACCGGGAGAAGAAGCCCCGGCUAACUCUGUGCCAGCAGCCGCGGUAAUACAGGGGGGGCAAGCGUUGUUCGGAAUUAUUGGGCGUAAAGGGCGCGUAGGCGGCCAACUAAGUCACACGUGAAAUCCCCAGGCUCAACUUGGGAACUGCGUGUGAUACUGGAUGGCUUGAAUUCGGGAGAGGGAUGCGGAAUUCCAGGUGUAGCGGUGAAAUGCGUAGAUAUCUGGAGGAACACCGGUGGCGAAGGCGGCAUCCUGGACCGACAUUGACGCUGAGGCGCGAAAGCUAGGGGAGCAAAC
RNAcentral lists this ribosomal RNA (400 nucleotides) under uncultured bacterium. Its description in RNAcentral is "bacterial SSU rRNA". It matches the Rfam family "Bacterial small subunit ribosomal RNA", at positions 356 to 773 of the family's 1533-position model. The record is from RNAcentral.